GCCAGAGUGGCGAAAUCGGUAGACGCGGCGGACUCAAAAUCCGUUGAGCCAAAAACUCGUGUCGGUUCGAGUCCGACCUCUGGCA
RNAcentral lists this transfer RNA (85 nucleotides) under Nannocystis sp. RNAcentral's name for it is "tRNA-Leu". It matches the Rfam family "tRNA". From Rfam's summary of the family: Transfer RNA (tRNA) molecules are approximately 80 nucleotides in length. Their secondary structure includes four short double-helical elements and three loops (D, anti-codon, and T loops). Further hydrogen bonds mediate the characteristic L-shaped molecular structure. tRNAs have two regions of fundamental functional importance: the anti-codon, which is responsible for specific mRNA codon recognition, and the 3' end, to which the tRNAs corresponding amino acid is attached (by aminoacyl-tRNA synthetases). tRNAs cope with the degeneracy of the genetic code in two manners: having more than one tRNA (with a specific anti-codon) for a particular amino acid; and 'wobble' base-pairing, i.e. permitting non-standard base-pairing at the 3rd anti-codon position. Lineage: Bacteria; Pseudomonadati; Myxococcota; Nannocystales; Nannocystaceae. The record is from RNAcentral.